AAAUCUUUCUUAGCCUGUUCAGUUUUUCCUUGUUCCUGCAGCCUCAUAUAUUGUUCAUGAGCUUUUUGUUUUUCAAUCUCCUCUCUGCAAACAAAAGCAUUAAAAACAAAGGCAGCAAUAGAACCCCUCUCAUCAAUACUUCAAAACUUGGUUGAAAAGACAUGGUGAAAAUAAAAGUAACAGACCUUAGCAAAUCAACCACAGAACCAUGCUAUUUUAUUUUUAAUAAAGCACAUGCAAAUGAAGAAUUUUUGUGCUUUCAAGAGAUGGAAUUUGGCCAUAACCAAAAUCCUAAACCAACAAAUAAUCAAAGGCAUUCAGCGAGUCCAACAUAAUUAAGGAACUAAAAUUUAAUUGUUUAAGUCUCUGCAAAAUCAAAAAAGAAGGCAAGAUUUGGAUAACUGUGUUACCUCUAUUUGAAGGAUAAAAGCAUAUUGCAACAAAUUGCAAAUAUGUUUUGAAACAAAUACAGGUGUUUUGUUACCACCCACUAUUUACAUGUUACAAUCUAUUAUGGGUUCUUCAUCAUGGUUUCUCAAAAAAAAAGCCUUGAAACAAAUAUCUAAUUUCAUCAACACUCUGCAUAUUUAGCUGUUGAUUUAUUAAUAUAAAUUUUCUUUGUUAAUUUUCUCUAUCAAUUCAUUGAUGAAUGAAUUAGUGAAACCCUCCUCAAUUUGCCAUCUGGGAUUAUACCAACCAAAGAUUUUUACAUGGUUUAAAAGAGUCAUCCACAGGCAUGACUUGACACAACAAGGACUGACUCAGUCCUUUCUCUUCUUCAGCGCUAUGUAUAAUUCAGUGUUGGAAUCUCAAUCUCUACAUUAAAGAGAUUAUUAUUUCUUUCUCCUUAUUUAUAUCUUGUUUCCUAUUUGUAUU
RNAcentral lists this unclassified non-coding RNA (876 nucleotides) under Hevea brasiliensis (rubber tree). The record is from RNAcentral. Lineage: Eukaryota; Viridiplantae; Streptophyta; Magnoliopsida; Malpighiales; Euphorbiaceae.